AUGAACGCUGGCGGCGUGCCUAAUACCUGCCAGUCGCGCGAACAGACGAGGAGCUUGCUCCUCUGACGUUAGCGGCGGACGGGUGAGUAACACGUGGAUAACCUACCUAUAAGACUGGGAUAACUUCGGGAAACCGGAGCCAAUACCGGAUAAUAUAUUGAACCGCAUGGUUCAAUAGUGAAAGACGGUUUUGCUGUCACUUAUAGAUGGAUCCGCGCCGCAUUAGCUAGUUGGUAAGGUAACGGCUUACCAAGGCAACGAUGCGUAGCCGACCUGAGAGGGUGAUCGGCCACACUGGAACUGAGACACGGUCCAGACUCCUACGGGAGGCAGCAGUAGGGAAUCUUCCGCAAUGGGCGAAAGCUUGACGGAGCAACGCCGCGUGAGUGAUGAAGGUCUUCGGAUCGUAAAACUCUGUUAUUAGGGAAGAACAAAUGUGUAAGUAACUAUGCACGUCUUGACGGUACCUAAUCAGAAAGCCACGGCUAACUACGUG
RNAcentral lists this ribosomal RNA (496 nucleotides) under uncultured bacterium. Its description in RNAcentral is "partial 16S ribosomal RNA". It matches the Rfam family "Bacterial small subunit ribosomal RNA", at positions 29 to 507 of the family's 1533-position model. The record is from RNAcentral.